This 229-nucleotide ribosomal RNA is filed under the name uncultured bacterium. Its description in RNAcentral is "partial 16S ribosomal RNA". It matches the Rfam family "Bacterial small subunit ribosomal RNA", at positions 118 to 347 of the family's 1533-position model. The record is from RNAcentral.
UGAGCAAUCUGCCCUUCUCAUCGGAAUAAGCGUUGGAAACGACGUCUAAUGCCGAAUACGACCUCCUUUCGCAUGAUCGGAGGUGGAAAGCUCCGGCGGAGAAGGAUGAGCUCGCGGCCUAUCAGCUAGUUGGUGUGGGUAAUGGCCCACCAAGGCGACGACGGGUAGCCGGCCUGAGAGGAUGACCCGGCCACACUGGGACUGAGACACGGCCCAGACUCCUAGGGAG